RNAcentral lists this small nuclear RNA (119 nucleotides) under Rhinolophus ferrumequinum (greater horseshoe bat). RNAcentral describes it as "U2 spliceosomal RNA (ENSRFEG00010011284.1)". It matches the Rfam family "U2 spliceosomal RNA". Rfam says of the family: U2 is a small nuclear RNA (snRNA) component of the spliceosome (involved in pre-mRNA splicing). Complementary binding between U2 snRNA (in an area lying towards the 5' end but 3' to hairpin I) and the branchpoint sequence (BPS) of the intron results the bulging out of an unpaired adenosine, on the BPS, which initiates a nucleophilic attack at the intronic 5' splice site, thus starting the first of two transesterification reactions that mediate splicing. Lineage: Eukaryota; Metazoa; Chordata; Mammalia; Chiroptera; Rhinolophidae. The record is from Rfam by way of RNAcentral.
AUCACUUCUCAGCCUUUUGGUUAAGAUCAAGUGUAGAAUCUGUUCUUAUCAGUUUAACAUUUUUUCAUUUUGAAUGUUUUUCUUUUCAUUUAUAGCUUUUAAAUUGCACAUCAACGGAA